This 86-nucleotide transfer RNA is filed under the name Puccinia graminis f. sp. tritici. It matches the Rfam family "tRNA". Rfam says of the family: Transfer RNA (tRNA) molecules are approximately 80 nucleotides in length. Their secondary structure includes four short double-helical elements and three loops (D, anti-codon, and T loops). Lineage: Eukaryota; Fungi; Basidiomycota; Pucciniomycetes; Pucciniales; Pucciniaceae. The record is from Rfam by way of RNAcentral.
GCAUCUGUAGCCUAGUUGGUAAAGGAAGCACUCUUGUAUGUGGCUCAGCAUUGCUGAGGUUGUGAGUUCAAAUCUCACCAGGCACA